GCAUCGAUGGUCCAACGGUAGGAUAUUUGCCUUCCAAGCAAAUGGCCCGGGUUCGACUCCCGGUCGAUGCA
Molecule: non-coding RNA, 71 nt
Organism: Kalaharituber pfeilii
Lineage: Eukaryota; Fungi; Ascomycota; Pezizomycetes; Pezizales; Pezizaceae
Source: the annotation of a GenBank genome assembly